AUGUUGUUAUCAGCUAGAUUGGCAAGAGCACUGGAAAUGACAGAUCAAGACAUCAACUCAAAGGAGGAAGCCAGCACGCAUGUACCACCAACUUUGUCAGGUUUCCAACAUAACGCUGCCAACAGUAAUCCAUCUGAGCAUUGCAUCGAAACCGAGAUAGUGUAUCAAGCAAACGAAGCGGCAUCAAUUGAGUGUGUGGGACUAGACACCACUCCUCCCCACACGAAAACAAUAACCAAGAUGAUUUUCGUUUCAAUGAAGUCAGGGAGCAGGGGAAACAUGCAGUGCUUGAUAUUGAUAUCAACAUAG
RNAcentral lists this ribosomal RNA (309 nucleotides) under Triticum aestivum (bread wheat). RNAcentral describes it as "partial small subunit ribosomal RNA". Lineage: Eukaryota; Viridiplantae; Streptophyta; Magnoliopsida; Poales; Poaceae. The record is from RNAcentral.